UCUCUCUCCAUGGCCUCGCCCUCGCCUUCCUACCAAAGUUAAAAUACCCACGUCACCACGUGAAGUGACGUCAGGUGGCCGUGGCCUCAAACCGCCUAUCAAUAUCUCUCUCCGGCGGCGCUGCGGCGGCUGCGAUCCUCUCCGUUGAGGGGGACGACGAAGCCCUAGGUGCGCCGCCGCCGCCGGCUGCCGCGCGCAGCGCAGCGGGAGGGAGGUAGGACGAGGCCGGCCGCCCCGCGCCCACACGCUGCGGCGGCUUCUUCUUCUCCACGCAGCACGCCGCGCGCGCUGCGUCGUCCUGCGCCACCGGGCGACGUGGGGGGGGCUGCAAGCUUCCCACGUGCUCCACCGGGGGCGCGCGCGCGCCGUUGCGGGGGAGACUCGAACCCCUCCGCCGCCACCCGCGAGCUGCUGCGGCUCGGCUCCGACACUACAGGCUACACGCGACGCGACGAGGCGCGCGCUCCUCCGCUCCGAUCCACCACGCGCCGCGCGCCCGGCCGGCCGCACGCUGCUGGCCGUUGCCGUCCGUCACAGCAGGUGCCUCGUCCUGCGCCGCCACACGGGCUGCUGGCUUCCGAGUUCAGCGACCGCCACCACCCCACCACACCUGCCGCGGCCGCGGUGCUUCGACGCCAGGCCCCCCGAGAUCCCGAUCGCCCAUCGAGCGCCGCCCGCUAGCUAGUCGUGGCCGUCCGCCUCCGCCGUCAGCUGUGGGUUCCUCCUCUCCGUAUCUGGAUCCUGGAGUUCUUCGUCGCCUGCUAUCUGCUCUGAUUUUAGUCGAUUGCUGCUGGGAAUUUUAUACCAUUCAAGAUGGCUCCAACAAGGAAAGGAAAAAAAAUUGAAAUUCCCAUCAACAAGGAAACUGAUGCUGUGUUUCCAAUGGGGCACCAUGCAUGGUGAUGUCAUGGUUUGUUUAUCAAGGAAUUACAGGAGAUUGAUUGUGUACAAGAAGCUGAUUCAUAGUACCGUUCUGCACUAUGCUGCAAUCAACUGUGGAGAUUUCACUUUGCAGUAUUGCGCUGCUCAGCUUGUACAGAGAUUGGAUGAUGCAGAACAUAUGUAUGGACUCCUGACAGAUGUCAGCACCCGAAUAUACUUAAACCAACUGGUUUUUGGCUCUGGGAACACUUUGAUGCGCUGAAGAAGCAUAACAAGGCUGAGGCUUUUAUCACAUCCUCUUAUUGAUGGGUCACUAUUGGAUGUCCCCAUGGAAGACUUAUUUUUGAUAGAGAAGUUUAUUGAAAACUAGGAAGGUAGCCCGCGCAUUCGCGCGGGCAUGUGUCCUAUGCUAAGUUUGAGAUAUUUGUAAGAGUGAAAUGUUACAUCUACCACAAUUUCUCCAUAAAUUGUUUUCAUCGGCAUUAAUUGCUUUUA
Oryza sativa Japonica Group (Japanese rice) is the source of this 1377-nucleotide long non-coding RNA. RefSeq lists it as uncharacterized. The record is from RefSeq and is a predicted model, not a curated record. NCBI's taxonomy places the organism in Eukaryota, Viridiplantae, Streptophyta, Magnoliopsida, Poales, Poaceae.